Molecule: ribosomal RNA, 838 nt
Filed under: Torula sp.
Lineage: Eukaryota; Fungi; Ascomycota; Dothideomycetes; Pleosporales; Torulaceae
Also listed under: 1 other name
Description: partial large subunit ribosomal RNA
Rfam family: Eukaryotic large subunit ribosomal RNA
Source: RNAcentral
CCAACAGGGAUUGCCCCAGUAACGGCGAGUGAAGCGGCAACAGCUCAAAUUUGAAAUCUGGCCCCCUCGGGGCCCGAGUUGUAAUUUGCAGAGGGAGCUUUUGGCGUCGGUCGUGGUCUAAGUUCCUUGGAACAGGACGUCACAGAGGGUGAGAAUCCCGUACGUGGCCGCCGGCCUUCGCCUUGUAAAGCCCCUUCGACGAGUCGAGUUGUUUGGGAAUGCAGCUCUAAAUGGGAGGUAAAUUCCUUCUAAAGCUAAAUACCCGCCAGAGACCGAUAGCGCACAAGUAGAGUGAUCGAAAGAUGAAAAGCACUUUGGAAAGAGAGUGAAAAAGCACGUGAAAUUGUUGAAAGGGAAGCGCUUGCGGCUAGACGUGCCCGCGGUUGAUCAUCCAGGCUCCGGCCUGGUGCACUCCUCCGCGGGCAGGCCAGCAUCAGUUCGGGCGGUCGGAUAAAGGCCUCUGUCACGUACCACCCCUCGGGGUGGCCUUAUAGGGGAGGCGCAACACGGCCAGCCCGGACUGAGGUUCCGCGCAUCUGCUAGGAUGCUGGCGUAAUAGCAGCAAGCGGCCCGUCUUGAAACACGGACCAAGGAGUCUAACAUCUAUGCGAGUGUUUGGGUGUCAAGCCCGAGCGCGCAAUGAAAGUGAACGGAGGUGGGAACCCUCACGGGUGCACCAUCGACCGAUCCUGAUGUCUUCGGAUGGAUUUGAGUAAGAGCAUAGCUGUUGGGACCCGAAAGAUGGUGAACUAUGCCUGAAUAGGGUGAAGCCAGAGGAAACUCUGGUGGAGGCUCGCAGCGGUUCUGACGUGCAAAUCGAUCGUCAAAUUUGGGCAUA